This 253-nucleotide ribosomal RNA is filed under the name uncultured bacterium. RNAcentral's name for it is "partial 16S ribosomal RNA". It matches the Rfam family "Bacterial small subunit ribosomal RNA", at positions 524 to 776 of the family's 1533-position model. The record is from RNAcentral.
UACGUAGGGUGCGAGCGUUAAUCGGAAUUACUGGGCGUAAAGCGUGCGCAGGCGGUUCGUUGUGUCGGUGGUGAAAGCCCCGGGCUUAACCUGGGAACUGCGGUUGAAACUACAGGACUAGAAUCUGGCAGAGGGGGGUGGAAUUCCACGUGUAGCAGUGAAAUGCGUAGAGAUGUGGAGGAACACCGAUGGCGAAGGCAGCCCCCUGGGCUGAGAUUGACGCUCAGGCACGAAAGCGUGGGGAGCAAACAGG